UUGAAAAUUUUUUUUUUAUCCACAUUCAUUGAAUUUUAGUUCGCAUCAUCUCUCGAAAGAAAUGAAAAAAAUAAAAAACACAUAUAGAUGAAUGACAUAAAAUAGUAAAACUCUAUAUAACCAACCACCAAUACGACGAAUAGGGAUUACAACGGAGAUGAGGAAAAUAAAACCAAUAAGCACCAAGUAGUAACUAGGAAUUAUUACGUAAUAAAGUUGAGCAUUAAAAGAAAUGAGGCCGAUAAGCUCUCAGGACUGUGUUAUUCAUAGUACAGAAGUCAGACAUUGUAUGGAGUUGGUACUCUUCUCAGAGGAGCAAUGAUUUUUUGUCGUUUUUUUUUCUGUGUUUUCAUGACGAUGAUGACUCCACAAAUCCACAAUCCAAAUCCAAUCCGAUGUUGUGCAAACUUUAAAUUGAAAAAAAAAGUAUUCCAGUGUUUUUUUUUUCUU
This is a long non-coding RNA of Episyrphus balteatus (marmalade hoverfly), 450 nucleotides long. RefSeq lists it as uncharacterized. The transcript is spliced from 2 exons. The record is from RefSeq and is a predicted model, not a curated record. NCBI's taxonomy places the organism in Eukaryota, Metazoa, Arthropoda, Insecta, Diptera, Syrphidae.